Molecule: non-coding RNA, 24 nt
Filed under: Cricetulus griseus (Chinese hamster)
Lineage: Eukaryota; Metazoa; Chordata; Mammalia; Rodentia; Cricetidae
Source: RNAcentral
GUGUGAGGAAUGUGGGAAAGCAUU